CACGUAGGCACCAAGCGUUGUCCGGAUUUACUGGGUUUAAAGGGUGCGUAGGUGGGCAGUUAAGUCAGUGGUGAAAUCUCCGAGCUUAACUCGGAAACUGCCAUUGAUACUAUCUGUCUUGAAUAUCCUGGAGGUGAGCGGAAUAUGUCAUGUAGCGGUGAAAUGCUUAGAUAUGACAUAGAACACCAAUUGCGAAGGCAGCUCACUACGGGAUUAUUGACACUGAGGCACGAAAGCGUGGGGAUCAAACAGG
This 253-nucleotide ribosomal RNA is filed under the name uncultured bacterium. RNAcentral describes it as "partial 16S ribosomal RNA". It matches the Rfam family "Bacterial small subunit ribosomal RNA", at positions 524 to 776 of the family's 1533-position model. The record is from RNAcentral.